ACUCUGCCUCUUCAACACGGAUGGCUCCUCCCGCUGCCGCUGCUGCUCCAGGAGACAGGUUCUUAUGCAGGAAUGAAAGACAUGGAGGGGAAGAGGGGGGCCAGCUCCCUGAGUCCUGUGUCCACCAGCUGCUGCUAAAUACCUCUCAGAAACUCUGCUUCUAGCUAAGGGGACCUACUUCUCUCGGGAAUCUCAAUACUUGGAACAAGAACCUCGUGGAUGGACCCUUUGGCAAAAUGAAUUGGACCAACCAUAGGUUCCAGGACUGGAGAGCCAGCAAUGCCUCCCUGGACAAUCCCACUCAAUUACUCUGCUCAGAGAACAUCACCACCCUGAAGCCAGAGACUAACCCUGAAGGACUCAGCAGUCUAAGCACAGCAGCCACAGCCCUUUCUGGCUCCAUUGCUGUGGUGGCCCCCAUCUUGCUCCUGGUGGGUCUCUUGUCCAUGACCCUGAAGAAAUGGAGGCAUGAGAGACUAUUUAAGAAACAACUGAGGCAUCAGGCCAACUUUCCCCACUAGUCCUCGGAUCUUUCCCGCCAUGCCGAUGCCAUAUAUUCCAACGUGAUCAACCUGGCCCCCCAGAAGGAGGAUGACUUUGCUGUCUAUGCCAACAUGCCCCCUUUUCAUCACCCCAGGAGGACAUCGCCAGACCAAGUGGAAUAUGCCUCCAUUGAAUUCCACUGAUGGGAAGCCAACGAGAUGCUCAGAGUGGGGGUCAGACCUGGCCCAGCUGGAUCGUGGCAUACCCUUUGCUUUAGAUUUAUAGGCCGGGAGCAGUGGCUCACACUUGUAUCCCUGGAGGCUAAGGCAGGCAGAUCAUGAGGUCAAGAUAUCGAGACCAUCCUGGCCAACAUGGUGAAACCCCAUCUCUACUAAAGAUACAAAAAUUAGCCAGACGUGGUGGCACAUGCCUGUAAUCCCAGCUACUUGGGAGGCUGAGGCAGGAGAAUCACUUGAACCCAGGGGGCGGAAGUUGCAGUGAGCCAAGAUCACACCACUGCACUCCAGCCUGGCAACAGAGUAAGACUCCAUCUCUAAAAAAAAUACAUAAAUAAAAUAAAACAAAAAACAAACAAAAAAACAUAAAAACAUAUUCUGAGGG
This 1104-nucleotide long non-coding RNA is filed under the name Macaca mulatta (Rhesus monkey). RNAcentral's name for it is "lncRNA (ENSMMUG00000055438.1)". Lineage: Eukaryota; Metazoa; Chordata; Mammalia; Primates; Cercopithecidae. The record is from RNAcentral.